Molecule: ribosomal RNA, 253 nt
Filed under: uncultured bacterium
Lineage: Bacteria
Description: partial 16S ribosomal RNA
Rfam family: Bacterial small subunit ribosomal RNA
Source: RNAcentral
UACGGGGGGGGCAAGCGUUGUUCGGAAUUACUGGGCGUAAAGGGCUCGUAGGUGGCCAACUAAGUCAGACGUGAAAUCCCUCGGCUUAACCGGGGAACUGCGUCUGAUACUGGAUGGCUUGAGAUUGGGAGAGGGAUGCGGAAUUCCAGGUGUAGCGGUGAAAUGCGUAGAUAUCUGGAGGAACACCGGUGGCGAAGGCGGCCCGCUGGGCAGUGGCUGACGCUGAGGCGCGACAGCGUGGGGAGCAAACAGG